Molecule: non-coding RNA, 26 nt
Filed under: Rattus norvegicus (Norway rat)
Lineage: Eukaryota; Metazoa; Chordata; Mammalia; Rodentia; Muridae
Source: RNAcentral
AAGGCCACAGUGAACAUAGAGGUAUC